GUGGGGAAUCUUGCGCAAUGGGCGAAAGCCUGACGCAGCCAUGCCGAGUGAAUGAUGAAGGUCUUAGGAUUGUAAAAUUCUUUCACCGGGGACGAUAAUGACGGUACCCGGAGAAGAAGCCCCGGCUAACUUCGUGCCAGCAGCCGCGGUAAUACGAAGGGGGCUAGCGUUGCUCGGAAUUACUGGGCGUAAAGGGCGCGUAGGCGGACAGUUUAGUCAGAGGUGAAAGCCCAGGGCUCAACCUUGGAAUUGCCUUUGAUACUGGCUGUCUUGAGUACGGGAGAGGUGAGUGGAACUCCGAGUGUAGAGGUGAAAUUCGUAGAUAUUCGGAAGAACACCAGUGGCGAAGGCGACUCACUGGCCCGUUACUGACGCUGAGGCGCGAAAGCGUGGGGAGCAAACAGGAUUAGAAACCCGGGUAGUCC
Molecule: ribosomal RNA, 425 nt
Filed under: uncultured bacterium
Lineage: Bacteria
Description: partial 16S ribosomal RNA
Rfam family: Bacterial small subunit ribosomal RNA
Source: RNAcentral